GUGACGCAGAUGUUACAUCUUUGGUGUAAAGUCACAUGGGGCAAAUUUUAUUUCAAUUUGACGUGUGGUGUUGGCAAAUAAGGUUGUCAAUAAUGGAAUCCAAGCGAGUCUAUGUGGGCGGUCUCUACCAUGAGGCAACAGAUAAGGAUCUGCGACAGUUGUUCUCAAAGUUUGGUGAUGUUGAUAGUGUUGAAAUCAAGAAGCGUUCAGAGAACAAUGUAGUAAACUUUGUAUUUGCUUAUGUAAACGUCAAAACCACUGAUCCUCAAAUCACACAGUGCUUCAGACGUCUAAAUGGCACUUUCUGGAAGGGCAAGAGGCUCAAACUGGAGCUGGCCAAGGAGUCCUUCCUCGCCAAGCUGCAGCGGGAAAGGGAGCAGAACCGCCCGGCGGGCCGUCCUCCACCUCCCCCACCUCCACCCAGAAGGCGCACCAUGCAGGACAGGAUUCUGGAUGACGUGCUGGCGUCAAAGAAACGACGUUCGGAGGACGUCGCGUCAGGCGGUGUGGUAGAUUUUACUGAGGAAGCUCCCUCCUCAGCGCCGGCGCCGGUUCAGAACGGACACCAUGAGUCUCCUGAACCAAAGCGUAAGAAGAAAAAGAAGUCACGAGAGGUCUCUCCGCCUCCGGUUCCGGUCGGGGUAGAGGCGGGCGGGGAUGGAGAUGAGCCUCCGCCUACGCGGGGCGCGCUGCGAAUGUUUGGAGGCAUCGGUGGCGCCCGGACGUUGACCCCAACUGCUCCUGUGUCAGAGUCUGCUGUUCCUGCUUCCACUGUCUCUCCAUCCCCGGCUCCUUCGUCAUCGUCUCCCGCUACUGCCCCUGCCUCUCACACUCCAGUCAGUGGAGACUUUCUGUCCCGUCUGGAGGCGUUUAGCUCGGUCUGGGGAGACGACGGGGAUGGUACACCUCGGGAACCGUUUGUGCCAGCUCGACGCGCCGCCACCACCCCUGUUGUCGCAGCCGCUCCCGCCACCGUCACUGCCACCCCCGUCUCCACCGCGAAAGCCACUCCCAAAGCCUCCGCCAACGUCCCCGCUACUUCUACGGCCAAAGCCGCAGCCACCGCCAGUCCUACCGCCCCCGCCCCCGCUCCGGUGGUGAGGCGGGGUCAGACGGCGGUGGAUGAUAACGAGAGGCGGAUGGCGUCACUGAGACAGAAACAGGAGGCGUUCCAGAGUCAGAAGCGGGCGCUGCAGCUGGCACUUUCGGCAAAGGCAGACAUACCGCGUCCCAACAAGCGGAUCGUGUUCGACGCUUCGGAUGACGAAGACGCCGAGCCGGAGCGGGAGUCCUCGGGAGGAGUCGGGAGGACUCCCGGCCGAGGACCCAGCCUGUUUGGGGAGGACGAGGACGAAGAGGAGGAGCAGGAGGACGCUGACGAUUUCAGAGUCCGGCCGCAGUACGAGGGAGCCAAGGGACAAAAGCUACAGGCACUCCAGGCUCGGUUCGGUGCGGACGACCGGUUCACGCUGGACGAGCGGUUCGCCGAAGAGGACCAACAGUCCCCCGAGGAUAGAGGAGAGGAGGAGGAGGAGAGAGGAGAGGAGGUGCGGGAGGAGCACCGUCAGCAGAUGAACAUCCUGGACAGCGUGCUCGGCACCGCCGCAGAGCCAGAGAGGAAGGGCAAACUCGCCAAAAAGAAGAACAGCGACAGCGGCCCGGUGCGGUUCGACCCGUCCCUGGAGUCGCACGCCCAGUACCAGCUCGACGCCAAGAAGCAGAAACAAAAGAAGAAGUCUUUGGACGCCGACCGUACCCCCACCCCAGCCACCACCCCCGCUGCCGCCCCGGCUCCUGCGGUAGAAUCGGGCACAUUCUACCAGGUGGCACCGCAGCUGGGAGACCUGUUCAGCCGCGGAGGUUCUACCGGCGGCGGGGGAGGAUUCAGCCUGCUGAAGAUGAUGGGCAGAGCGGCAGAUGAUGAUGAAGAUGAAAAAGAAGAUGAAUACAAGACGUCUGAAAUAAAGGAAAAGAAGAAGCGUCACAGCAUUGAGGGUGCCGCCGCCAAUCCGUUCCGUUACGACUCGAGUAGUUCCGAAGACGAGGCGGAAGAUGGCAGCACUGUGCAGUCACUAGGUGUCGCAGCGGGCGGCGGCUGGACGCAGGCGCGCAAGUUCUUCCUGCAAAAAGAUGACCCGCGACUCGAGGAGGGCCUGGAGUGGGUCCGAUCAGCACCUUCCGUGGACGAGCUGCGGGAGCGGGCAGAGCAGCAGCGUCCCGAGCUGGUGGAGCUGUUCAGAACCAUGCGUCACAGUCGACAGCGCGCGCAACGGAGGGGUCGGGGAAGGGGGCGGCGGAUGGCCGGACGGUGACGAUUGAGAGUCGCCGGGAGGGGUGCCGAUGGGGCUGGAGUGAAUAUAUGGGGACAACGCAGCGCUGGUGUUUUUAGAGACGGGAGAGAAAUGAUGAGUUUGAUAUGAUGAUGCUAUUAAUUCGGUGACGUCAAAGUGCUGGUUCGGUUUGACCAAUGUGAGAGUCGUAUGUUUGUUAUGACUUAUGGAAAUGGUACAAACAGGCCGCUGCGUGAAAGGAACGAUAGACAGGCAAUUGCUCCGUAAUAUCGAAUAUACGUAUAAUCGGCUAUCUUACUUGUGAACCAAUAACCGCGGAACGUCUAGGCGGGUGGUGUUGUAUGAAAAUGUGCGUAAAAUUUUGUUAGAAGUUAGUGCAUUUUUUUGCAGCGAAAUAACAUUGCUUUGCGCCAUUUACUGCGCACGUGCUACAGUCGUGAAGCGAUUCGUGUAACAUGCGUAACAUGUAUCUCGUGCGGCUGGUUCGGCAAAUGAAAUAAUAAUUACCAAUUAUUAUUUAUUACAAAAAAAAAUAGCUUGUUUUGAUAAAGUUGUGUAUGAAGUAGCUAGUAGCUAAUGUGUGGUUGAUAACUUAAGGCUUUUACUUGUGCUGCCUUUUCAAUUUUGCUACAGGCGUUUUCGUGAGACGGUGGCCAUGAGUCUUCUUCCGCACUCAAUGCACCUACUGAGGGCCAGCUCCCGACGCCUGCCUGCUCUGCUCACUGCUCGUCUCAGCUCAACAGCCAGUGACGCAGCGGCAGUACCAGCAGCAAGUGGUGCCAACACUGCCUCUACCAGCACAGCUGCAUCCCCUCCAACAGAUGCUCCAUCAGCAGCAGCAGCAGCAGCAGCGUCCUCUGAUGCACCCCUCUUCUCCAUGGAUAACCCCUACCAGGAGGAACGCCGCCUGUGCAUAGCCUGCCGCCACAACAUACGAUUCGACUACAAGAACGUCCGACUUCUGAGUCAGUUCAUGUCGCCUUUCACGGGCCGUAUGUACGGCCGGCACGUGACUGGGUUGUGCCGUCAGCAGCACGAAAAACUUGAUGCGGAGUACAAGAAGGCGAUAGCUUGUGGAUACAUGGGUGUCAUGAUGAAAGAGGUCGAGUUCCUGCGCGAUCCGAAGAUCUGCGACCCCACCAACCCAGUGCGACCUCAUAGGUUCUAGUCGGCAAGGCGUAUGGACAGAGUUAAAAGUGAGCGAGUGGGUGAGAAAGUGAGUUGUUGCAGUGUGGUGGAUGCCAUGGGAUGGCUUGCUGAUAAUGUAACUGAGUUGAUGUCAGCCAGUUAUCAGGAUUGUGGUUAAGAUACAACGUGCGAAAGAU
RNA transcript from Amphibalanus amphitrite, 3616 nucleotides. It is a transcript of the gene named probable RNA-binding protein CG14230, with no coding region annotated. The record is from RefSeq and is a predicted model, not a curated record. Lineage: Eukaryota; Metazoa; Arthropoda; Thecostraca; Balanomorpha; Balanidae. The transcript is spliced from 9 exons.